Molecule: long non-coding RNA, 4779 nt
Filed under: Citrus maxima (pomelo)
Lineage: Eukaryota; Viridiplantae; Streptophyta; Magnoliopsida; Sapindales; Rutaceae
Description: long non-coding RNA (CMAX_LNC003866)
Source: RNAcentral
UUUUUCACAAUAGAUUCCUCCCUUAAAUACUCUCUCUCUCUUCUCUUCUAGAGUUCUAUUUAAAAUAAAAUACUAAUAUAUGAAAUAUUAAAUUCGUAAUUACAAAAAUAACCAAAAAUACAAAACACGUUAAACUAAAAACUGCAGGUUCGUAGUUGACAGCACACGCCCACGCCUUAUCAACAAAGUUCUUCUGACGCUCAUAAUUUCUCCAAGAGAACAAUCAUCCUUAAACGUCAUCUUGUAGCUCAAUUUUAUCACCAAUCAAUAGAAUUGCACCUACAAAAGUAAAACACAAGUAAAUCACUAUUAUUAAGUGCAAAACAUCGAUAUUAAGGGAAGUAAACAAUGCAAAACUAGUGCAUAAAUUGCACUCUAACUGCCACCUUAGUUUGUAUCUCAACUGAUGUGUCACUAAUAUAAUUUUACCAUUUGGAUGAGAAAAAGAUCACUAUUGCCAAUUAAACAGUACCAAUCAAUUGGAAUUCAAACUAAUGUAGCAUUUAUUUUUUUGUUUGAAAUCUGAAGUCUGGAUAAGUCUAAAUACAUAUAUAUGAUACUAUGUUUAUUUUUCAUUUUUUGUUGUCCAAGUGUAAGUGGUUAGCUAUUUGUUUUCAUAAAGUUAAAACAUCUUCUAUCUAGUAUUUUUGCACUUAUGUCCUUGAAUGUGUUAUAUGUUUGGAAAUUUAAGUAGGCAUAUAUUUACGUUGUUAACUAGUAUAGUAGUAUUUAUAUGUUAUAAAAAUCUAUAAGGAAAGCAUUUGAUAUAUAAUUUAUGACGUUAUUUUUUUACAAUUUAAUAUAAUAUUUAUACAUAAAAAGGUUGUUAUAUGAUAACAAAAUAAUUUGCCUAAAAUUCAAAUUGAUGUACAUUAGGCAUUUAAUACGAAAUAAAAGUUGAGAUCAAGAAAAAUCCUAAUAUGACAUCAAGUUGAGAUCAAGAGAAAUUCUAAUAUGACAUCUAAACUAUGUUAUAGUUAAUUUAAAAAAUCCUUCUAAAUAUAGGAAAAAAAUCAAUAGGUAAUUAUAUUUUACAUAAUAGGAUAGAAAUAAAUAAAUUUAAUUAGGGCAUUUGUAAGAAAAAAAUAAUUUUUCAUUCAAACAUUUGAUCAUUCAAAUAAAAGUCAAUUUUUCCAUUCAAAUGAAAAAGUGUUACAACAGACUUCAGAUACAAAAAUAACCAAGCAAAAAUAUCAAAACAUAUUUUCUUAAGCCAAAUUAAAACUUCAGGCAUACAAGUCCUAAGUUUAUUAAAUUAUUAAGGUUACAAUAUGAAUUUUAAAAAGUUAUGGUGACUUAUUUAAUAAGCUAUUUAUAAAAAGUAACAUUUUAUUUGUUUUAAAAGUUUCUGUCAAAUUACGGAAACUUAUGAAAUAAAAGUUUUUUAAAAAUUUACCAAACACUAUUUUUGUCAAAAGUUAUAAAAUAAAUCGCUUAUAACAUUUCAACCUUAAUCUCAAAUGGAGUCUUAAUCUCAUUUUUUUCCCUUAAAGAUUGAGAUUGAAGAACCACAAAAAAAUUGAGGAGGAUUAACCAACACUAUUUGAUUAGCAAACCAACAUGUGAGGUUUCUUUCAAAAAAGUAUUCAAGAAGAUUCAGCAUAAUCAUGAGUAACUUAAACAACAAAUUGAUAUUGAGUGACACACAAUAAUUUUAUUUAAUUAUUUAGUUCAAGAAAAAUAAAGUACAUAAAUGUGAAGAAGAAAAUGUCUUAUAUAUAUAAUUGAAGUAGACCGACAUACACUCACACAAACGACAUGUAAUAAUACUCAUUGCAUCUUUUUAUUUAAUGAAACAUAACAAAAAGAGUAGCGGUAUGAGAAAAAUCCUCAAAUCAUGGUGACUGAUACGUUCCUUUUACGUUAUCAACUUUCUUUUAUAACGUGGUCUUUUGAGCUCGCCGCAUGAAUAAUAUGAGAGUGAAUUUACAUUUUCUAUAUCGCUUGCCUAAAGUUUUCACACUUUGAAUACUGUUUUACUGAAGAGACCUAUUGAAAAUUCUAAAAAUAAAUUUUUACUCAACAGACUCUCUUAGAAAUAAAAAAAUUAUCCUAGAUUAAAUCUCUUUUCACUUUACAUUUAUAUUCUCUCUCUAUACCCAACUAACAAUUGAUAAAAAAAAAAUGAUCAAAUAAGAAUUAAAUUUAUUGGAUAAUAGACUAUAAGUAAUUUUCCCUGCAUCUUAAUUAAUCAGUGUGUCUAUUAGAGGAUAUUCAAUUCAGCAAAUUUUUCCAUCAAUACUCUAUCAUCAUUAACCAGAAGCCAAUCAGACAAAUAUUUUUUGUUCUCAUAAAUAUCAAUGAAGUUGGGAGAGAAUUCCGAGACUAAACGAGUAGUAUGUUUUUAACUUGCCAGUAUAACACCUUAAGUAAGAGAAAAAUGAGUUAAUGCCUUUCUUGCUACAGCUAAAAGUGGUAGGAUUUCUUGGAAUCGAUUAAAACAAACUUAAAUAAAAAUAGAUGAAAACUCCUUUAUGGUUACACAAAAUUGUCCUUUACGAUCAUUUAUAUAAUAGGUAUUCUAAGAGUUUAUUUAUUUUUUUAAAUUUGAGCAUUCAGAAUAAUUUCUCAAAUAAAAAUACUCCCACUAAUAAAAUUAAUUCAUAUACCAAUCGAGAAUAAACAUAAAUUAAUUUGGUUGUAGCAUUAAAUUAUUGAAAUGGUAUUUUUUGGAAAAAAUAAAUUAUUGAAAUGAUGGGCUCCUUGCAAUCAGUGAUACAUUUGUCGUAGCGGUUUUGCAUGAUAGUAGGGUAUUACUUUUUAAUGUUUCCCUAACCUACAGAGAGAACAAUAAUGUAGUAGUCACUUCGGCUAAUUUGGGUCUUAGUUGUCAUAAUUCAGCUGAUGGGGCUCACCGCCUGUUGAAACUGGAAGCUUUAUUUAUAAAGAUGCCAAUGGUUUCCCCAACUAUAGAUUUCAUUGGCUUUCUUCCUUUUUGAUUGUUGCUUCUUUUACAAAGCCUUGGUUCUUUUUUAUUUUAGCACGAUGCAGUUUUUUAGGGGUAAGGCCUAUUUCGAGCGCCUGACUUGUAUUGGUUUUUUAUACUUUUUAUUUAAAAAGAAAGUUUUCCUUGAUUUGCAAGGUUAAUCUUUUUAAAAAAGAAAAAGGUUAGUACCAAUCUCAUUUUUUGUUGAUUGAGAGUGAAGAAACCGCAUCAUUGGAAGAAUCACUAACACUAUUUGAAUUAGUAACUACAGUUUGCAUAAUCAUGACUAACUUGGAUAACAAACUGACACAUAGCAGUAUUAUUUUUUUAAUUCAAAGAUGUUGAUUUUCGAGCAAGAAUCAAUAUAAAAAUUUGAAAAUCCGAAUUUAAACACAUAUCCGGAUUAUAUGCGGAAAAUCGAUAAACUAAUGUUGCGCUACUGAUUUAUGGUCGGAGGAUGAUCACAAAGUCGGAAAAUUCUCUCAAUUCACGUUGCAAGAACCCUCUAAGCUUUUCUUGGCUUGAAUUUUCUCCAAAUUGCACUUUUCUCAUUUUUUGCUUAACUUCUCUUAACUUAUUUUCUCUAUGGAUCUGCCCUCUAUUUAUAGCAUUCCAAGAAUAAUGAUUAUCUUCUCAAUGAUCACCUAAUAAGCUUAAACAAUUGUUGGAGUGAUCAUCUUCUUAAUGAUCACUUAAUAUCUUUCAAUAUAAUAUUGUAAGAUAUUAUAGAGUUCUAACUCAAAAUGAUCACUUGCUAUUGGUUAUGCAUCCCUCAUGGGUGACCUCAAAGUAAUAGAACCCUGUAUAUAAAUAUAUAUUUACAUAUAUAUUUCCAACAUCUCCCACUCACACAUGAUGUGAUGUUUAUGGUGCAACGAGAACUAUCUGUUCAAGCCUCAAAACUCAAUUAUCAUACUAGCAAAUGCAACGUGUGACCCAUGAACAAUAAGCAAGAGUUUUAUUGCUUUGAAUCUCAAUUGUAUUCUAUACAAAAGAGUUGUUCAUCAUAUAUCCUAGAUUCCAUAUUAUUACAUCAAAUUCAAGCAUACUAAGUCCCAUAUCAAAAGUUAUGCUUGACAAUAUACACUCUAUGUAAUCACAAUUGUAUCAAUCCUAGAUUAUACAAUCGGUACCAGUGAAAAACAUAAGGUAGAUGUAAGUAAUGAAUCUUCCCAUCACACUCAUAUUUCUUAGUUUUAGAUUAACUGCUUUCCUAGACUUGUUUCAUAAACCGAAUAACAUCAUCGCUUUAGAAAACAAGUUUCAAGUAGCAAACACUAAUCUAUCACCUCAAAAUAUAGUUGAUAGUAUGUAAGGAUACCUUUUGAGGUUUAUAAUACCUUAAAGAAACUUUAAACAAUGAGAAAUAAGGGAAAUUUUCUCAUUUUUCUUUAUUUGGUCAUCAAAGCACACGUUGUAUGAAAUACGUGCUACAGUGAAUUCUCUUUUCUGAGAGUGUAUGUCUAAAUUAUUUCACCGUACAGAUCUUAGUUCAGUCGUUACUCAAGCACCUAACCUGAGUUUUUAAUAAGUUCGCUUAUCUAAAGUGCCAAAUUAAAGACUCACAUCUGGCUUUAAAUCAGGUUUCCAUCAUGAUUGGGUAUAUUAGGGUCGGUUUUAUUUUUAUAUGUUGAUUUUCAAGCAAGAAUCAACAUAAAAACUUGAAAAUCUGAAUUUAAACACAUACCCGGAUUAUAUGCGGAAAACCGAUAAACCAAGUUUGCGCUACUGAUUUAUGGUUGGAGGAUGAUCACAAAGUCGGAAAAUCCUCUCAAUUCACGUUGCAAGAACCCUCUAAGCUUUUCUCGGCUUGAAUUUUCUCCAAAUUGCAAUUUACUUAUUUUUUGCUUAAC